Molecule: ribosomal RNA, 253 nt
Filed under: uncultured bacterium
Lineage: Bacteria
Description: partial 16S ribosomal RNA
Rfam family: Bacterial small subunit ribosomal RNA
Source: RNAcentral
UACGUAGGGGGCAAGCGUUAUCCGGAUUUACUGGGUGUAAAGGGAGCGUAGACGGUGCGCCAAGUCUGGAGUGAAAUGCCGCGGCUUAACCGCGGAACUGCUUUGGAAACUGGCGUGCUUGAGUGCGGGAGGGGUAAGCGGAAUUCCUAGUGUAGCGGUGAAAUGCGUAGAUAUUAGGAGGAACACCGGUGGCGAAGGCGGCUUACUGGACCGUAACUGACGUUGAGGCUCGAAAGCGUGGGGAGCAAACAGG